UAGGGAAUCUUCGGCAAUGGGGGGAACCCUGACCGAGCAACGCCGCGUGAGUGAAGAAGGUUUUCGGAUCGUAAAGCUCUGUUGUUAAGGAAGAACGAGUGUGAGAAUGGAAAGUUCAUGCUGUGACGGUACUUAACCAGAAAGGGACGGCUAACUACGUGCCAGCAGCCGCGGUAAUACGUAGGUCCCGAGCGUUGUCCGGAUUUAUUGGGCGUAAAGCGAGCGCAGGCGGUUAGAAAAGUCUGAAGUGAAAGGCAGUGGCUCAACCAUUGUAGGCUUUGGUAACUGUUUAACUUGAGUGCAGAAGGGGAGAGUGGAAUUCCAUGUGUAGCGGUGAAAUGCGUAUAUAUAUGGAGGAACACCGGUGGCGAAAGCGGCUCUCUGGUCUGUAACUGACGCUGAGGCUCGAAAGCGUGGGGAGCGAACAGG
RNAcentral lists this ribosomal RNA (429 nucleotides) under Bacteroidota bacterium. RNAcentral's name for it is "Bacteroidetes bacterium partial 16S ribosomal RNA". It matches the Rfam family "Bacterial small subunit ribosomal RNA", at positions 355 to 776 of the family's 1533-position model. Lineage: Bacteria; Pseudomonadati; Bacteroidota. The record is from RNAcentral.